This 372-nucleotide ribosomal RNA is filed under the name uncultured organism. RNAcentral's name for it is "bacterial SSU rRNA". It matches the Rfam family "Bacterial small subunit ribosomal RNA", at positions 526 to 896 of the family's 1533-position model. The record is from RNAcentral.
CGUAGGGUGCGAGCGUUAAUCGGAAUUACUGGGCGUAAAGCGUGCGCAGGCGGUUUAGUAAGACAGGCGUGAAAUCCCCGGGCUCAACCUGGGAACUGCGCUUGUGACUGCUAAGCUAGAGUACGGCAGAGGGGGGUGGAAUCCCACGUGUAGCAGUGAAAUGCGUAGAGAUGUGGAGGAACACCAAUGGCGAAGGCAGCCCCCUGGGUCGAUACUGACGCUCAUGCACGAAAGCGUGGGUAGCAAACAGGAUUAGAUACCCUGGUAGUCCACGCCCUAAACGAUGUCAACUAGGUGUUGGGAGGGUAAAACCUUUUAGUACCGGAGCUAACGCGUGAAGUUGACCGCCUGGGGAGUACGGCCGCAAGGUUA